This 627-nucleotide non-coding RNA is filed under the name Pongo abelii (Sumatran orangutan). The record is from RNAcentral. Lineage: Eukaryota; Metazoa; Chordata; Mammalia; Primates; Hominidae.
AGAACUGGACACCUCGGGGGUUUCCUGCUUUAUGGCGAAGGGCCAGGGCCCCACACACAUUCUGCCUGACAGCCAGCCAAGCUCUUCAGUCCCCCGCCCUCCACCUGCCAGGGAGGCUUGGGGCGUUAUACCUGCCACCACGGGGUAGGUCUGACACAUAUACUCAUAGAAAUGAGUUAUUUAAAGAAGACGGUCCAGAUUCCACAGUCCAAAAAAAAAAAAAAAAAGAGGUUUGCCCUGCUUCUGAAGGAGUCAGGAUACGAAUGCAGAGGUCUUCCUGUUGGCUCACGUAUCAGACCUUCAACGUCAACAUUAAAUGUGAGUGAUGCUCUCCACUCUGUGAAUGUGGCUUUGGGUAUGGCUAAUCCACACCCUGCACUCUGGCCUUCAGAAGCCCAGGGAGAGAAGCCUCCCAGAAGCAACCUUCCAGAACCUUCUCCAUACUCCCACCGACCUCCCCAGCCCCUGUCUUCUCUUUGAAUCUCGUUGUCAAGUUCUUUCCUGGCUCCUUGAGGGGAGGUGCAGCUUUCAUCUGACCAUGCAGGCGUGCUUUGCAGUGGGUAGAGCAGUGCUUUCCUCCUCCCAGCUGCACACUGGAAUCACCUGGAGAGUCCAGAAACUUCCCGC